This 338-nucleotide long non-coding RNA is filed under the name Capsella rubella. RNAcentral describes it as "long non-coding RNA (CRUB_LNC004746)". The record is from RNAcentral. Lineage: Eukaryota; Viridiplantae; Streptophyta; Magnoliopsida; Brassicales; Brassicaceae.
UCCAUUCUAUUUGUGACCUAGGAUCAGAUACACAAAUUAUUGUCGAUUUUUCUUUCGAUAAAUGUAAAUCAUCCUACUCGAUAACCCGUUUUUUUUAUCGAAUAUGUUUCUUUAUUUCUCAAAAAAAAAAAAAAGGUGUUAAAGGGUCUUUUCGUUGAUGGACAGGUUGAUUGACCCAUCCAUUUUCGGGCCAUGUUUGUUCGAAAAUAAUCUGACACAAAGCUACGGUUUCGUAUGAAUCCAUGUAAAAAACAAACACAGGUUUGGUCCCUCCCAUCCCACUCCCUUGGAUCUCGACCGUUGAUCCACUCAUAUUUUUAUACAUGUUAGGAUUACUA